Molecule: ribosomal RNA, 882 nt
Filed under: Thermococcus thioreducens
Lineage: Archaea; Methanobacteriati; Methanobacteriota; Thermococci; Thermococcales; Thermococcaceae
Description: bacterial LSU rRNA
Rfam family: Archaeal large subunit ribosomal RNA
Source: RNAcentral
CCCCACUGUCCCCGGCUGGGGCCCGGCGAAACCACUGCCAGGCGCAUAUGCCUGGGACCUCCGGUGGGAAGCGAAGACCCCAUGGAGCUUUACUGCAGCCUGCCGUUGCCGUACGGCGGGGGGUGCGCAGCGUAGGCGGGAGGCGUCGAAGCCCGUCCUCCGGGGCGGGUGGAGCCGUCCAUGAGACACCGCCCACCCUCUGCCGUACGGCUAACCCCCGAUGGGGGGACAGCGGUAGGUGGGCAGUUUGGCUGGGGCGGCACACCCUCGAAAAGGUAUCGAGGGUGCCCUAAGGUCGGCUCAGGCGGGUCAGGAAUCCGCCGUAGAGUGCAAGGGCAAAAGCCGGCCUGACUGGACCCGUAACAGAGGCGGGUCCAGCCGCGAAAGCGUGGCCUAGCGAACCCCUGUGCCUCCCCGGUGGGGGCCAGGGAUGACAGAAAAGCUACCCUGGGGAUAACAGAGUCGUCUCGGGCGAGAGCCCAUAUCGACCCCGAGGCUUGCUACCUCGCUGUCGGCUCUUCCCAUCCUGGCCCUGCAGCAGGGGCCAAGGGUGGGGGUGUUCACCCAUUAAAGGGGAACGUGAGCUGGGUUUAGACCGUCGUGAGACAGGUCGGAUGCUAUCUACCGGAGGUGUUGGCCGCCUGAGGGGAAGGCUCCCCCAGUACGAGAGGAACAGGGAGCCGCGGCCUCUGGUCUACCGGUUGUCCUACAGGGCACAGCCGGGCAGCUACGCCGCGUCCGAUAAGGCCUGAAAGCAUCUAAGGCCGAAGCGGUCCCCGAAAAUAGGCGGCCACUCCCAGGCGCAGGGGGUCGGGCGACCGGUCCUUUGCCUGGGACGAGGGCUCGGGAAGAAGACCCGUUUGAUGGGGCGGGGAUGUAAGC